This 597-nucleotide ribosomal RNA is filed under the name Neolebias trilineatus. RNAcentral's name for it is "partial 16S large subunit ribosomal RNA". It matches the Rfam family "Bacterial large subunit ribosomal RNA", at positions 1809 to 2609 of the family's 2925-position model. Lineage: Eukaryota; Metazoa; Chordata; Actinopteri; Characiformes; Distichodontidae. The record is from RNAcentral.
AAAAACAUCGCCUCCCGCAAAAACCAAUGUAUAGGAGGUCUUGCCUGCCCAGUGAACUUAUUUUAAACGGCCGCGGUAUCUUGACCGUGCAAAGGUAGCGCAAUCACUUGUCUUUUAAAUGAAGACCAGUAUGAAUGGUGGAACGAGGGCUUAACUGUCUCCCUCCUUAAGUCAGUGAAAUUGAUCUGCCCGUGCAGAAGCGGACAUAAAAAUACAAGACGAGAAGACCCUUUGGAGCUUAAGACACCAAAACCAACUAUGUCAAAAAUCUGCUACAAAACAGAUUAAACCUAAUAGCAGCUGGUUUCUGUCUUCGGUUGGGGCGACCACGGAGGAAAAUAAAGCCUCCACGUGGAAAGGGGAAACCCCCUAAAACCUAGAGAGACAUCUCCAAGACACAGAACAUCUGACCACAAUAGAUCCGGCUACACAGCCGAUCAACGGACCAAGUUACCCUAGGGAUAACAGCGCAAUCCCCUCCCAGAGUCCCUAUCGACAAGGGGGUUUACGACCUCGAUGUUGGAUCAGGACAUCCUAAUGGUGCAGCCGCUAUUAAGGGUUCGUUUGUUCAACGAUUAAAGUCCUACGUGAUCUGAG